Molecule: long non-coding RNA, 497 nt
Organism: Dendronephthya gigantea
Lineage: Eukaryota; Metazoa; Cnidaria; Anthozoa; Malacalcyonacea; Nephtheidae
Exons: 3
Source: RefSeq, a predicted model, not a curated record
UCCCGAGAAGGAUCGCAUGGUUUUGUUUGGAUACUCAAAGAUGAAUUCCCCAAAGACGGCAUGGAAAUCGUAUUUUGAAACGUUUUGGCAGAAAGUGAUAGCAAGAAUGAGUUACUAAUGAAAACUUAGCUUGAAUUGAGCAGUUGGAGGAUAACAGUGACAAUAACAGUGAUGAUAAUAAAGCCAAGAAGAGGCGAUUAGAUGUGACCAGUGCUGACAAUAAGAAACCAAAGAAGAAUAUAAAGCUUUUGUCAUCAUGAAAUUUCCUCAAGCAAAUAAUACAAUUUUAAAAGCUGUUAUGACACAAGAGUGCAAAGAAUUUAGGCUGUCAAUGGAAAACCGAAAAAAGAAUCAGGAAGAUCUUAGCAACAAUUAAGGACAGUAGGAUGACUAAAUAAAUUAUAGUAUUAUAAUUCAUUUUAUUUUAUAUUUACAGAUGUAUCUUUUACUCUUUAACAUAGUCAAAUGUUUCACUUCAUUUUGUAAUAUGGUUUUUA